Anolis carolinensis (green anole) is the source of this 3459-nucleotide long non-coding RNA. RefSeq lists it as uncharacterized. The transcript is spliced from 3 exons. NCBI's taxonomy places the organism in Eukaryota, Metazoa, Chordata, Lepidosauria, Squamata, Anolidae. The record is from RefSeq and is a predicted model, not a curated record.
UUCUCUGUUUUGUCAGAACAAAAAGAGAGAAUGAGGUAAAGACUUUGAGUCUAAUUUUUCCACCUGGAAUAACUCUCCCUAGGGCUGGAAGUAGGGCUAAAUCAUUUUUUUCUGACUUUUACAGCAGGACACCUUGAUUUUAUGAGAUAUGUGGCCACUAUACCCAUCCUCAUCUCAGAGCUUUUUCCAUGCCUAGCACCCAGCCUACAAAACAACAAGGAAAGCAGCAAUAACCAUGAAACCAAAGAUUCAGUAUCGAUCCCUUCCAAGUUAAACAACCAUCAGCGAAGGCUUGAAUGUAAGGCAGCAUUCAUAUGGGAAGGAGCCAUAACGUUGACAGUGUCCUUGUUGCUGUGUGCCUUCAAGUCACGAUCCUAAGGUGACACUAUCAUGGGGUUUUCUUGGGCAGUCCAAGGUCUCGUCAUGACUGUUAGAAAAACAGCAACCAAGAAUGUCCUCCUUGACAAUGUAACUCUCAAACAUCAUAACCUGGAGGCGAUAAUAUUCUCAGAAUUUGUUGAAGUGCUUCUAAAAUGUGUGUAUGUGUACAUCCUUCCUUAUUAGAUUAAGUACAAGGAUUUUGAUGGGAAAGUACUUCUAUGUAUUUACUUACAAUAAGGCAGAACAAAGAUUGGGAGUGUCAUGAGAUGCAGAGUUCUUUACUUAGAUAUUAUAUUUUUAUUUUCAUGAAAAGGGAAAUGUUCUUGUAAGUGUUUCUGACUUACACAGGAAAAUAAUUGCCUCAAAUCUGUACAGGUUUAAAACUAUCUUGAUCUGUUUUAAUUGUUCUAUUGUUCUAUUGUUUACUAUGCUUUCAGGCUCUUCCUCCUUUAAAAAAAAUUAAACUAUUUUGCAGUGAUAUCAAUUUAAACCAGUUCUUGUGAUUUUUUUUCAAUUAAUAAAAAAAUCUAUCAUUUUAGGCUAUGUGUAUGAGGUGUAUAUGAAACUUAAAUAUGGAGCCCCCAGUGGCUCAGUGGGUUAAACCCUUGUGCUGCAGGACUGAUGACUGGAAGGUUAGAUUGCUGACCUGAAGGUUGCAAGUUCGAAUCCAACCUGGGGAGAGCGUGGAUGAGCUCCCUCUAUCAGCUCCAGCUCCAUGGGGGGACAUGAGAGAAGCCUCCCACAAGGAUGGUAAAAACAUCAAAGCAUCCCCUGAGUAACGUCCUUGCAGACUGCCAAUUCUCUCACACCAGAAGCUACUUGCAGCUUCUCAAAUCACUCCUGACAUGAAAAAAAAACUUAAAUGAAUUUUGUGUUUAGACUUAAGUCCCAUCUCCAAGAUCUCUCAUGUUGUACAUGCAAAUAUUUGAAAACAAACAAACAAACCCCAAAUCCAAAUCAUUUCUGGUCUCAACUGAUAGUCAAUCUGUAGCAGAAUCUCUUAUCCAGCAUGCCCUAUGUGGGAUUCUGGGAGUCGUGGCCCCAAAAAGUUUUUUUAUUAUUAUUCUGGAACAGGCUUGCAUACCUUCUUGUGGCCAGAUAGGACCAAACAUGAGGAUUCUGUUCAUUCUGAACCACAAAAUGGAAGCUUUUUCUUGAGAUCCUAGUAGGUGGCAAAGCAUGGCUGGUGGGCUGCUUUGAGCCUGGUGGCUUACAAGUUGUGAAUGUCUUAUAGAGACUAUAAGGGCCAAUUCAAAACAGAUUAGGGUCAGGGAGGAGAGGGGCUUCUUGUUUGAAAGCAGCCAUAACAUUUCAGCCGAGCCCAUGGUCGCCUGUACUGCCUGUGUUUUUCUGCGUGUUGGAAAAGAGCAGAUGGUUUAGGUGACUGAGGGAAAGGAGACGAAAGGUCAGCUGGAAAUGGUAAAGAAUGUGUGGUUAGUUAAAGAUGUUUCUUUUGAACACAACAUCCAUGGGGGGUCUGGGAGUGGGAAAUCAACCUCUCCAGGUAUAACUCCAACACGCCGGUGGUCUCGCCUCUUCUGCUCUCUGCACAAAGUCUCUCUUUAAAAGCAAAGAAGUGGUGAACCUUGAAUCCUCUCUUGUUCUUGGUCUAGGAACAUACUGUGGUUUGUCACACGUCACAGGUACCAUUUGUAUAAAUGAUUUUAAGGUGGGAUUUCACCCCCAGACAGCUUCCCUGACCCUUGCAAUGGGAUCAAAAUAGCUCUUGUAUUCCUGAGGAGUGAAAAGAGAGAAAGUGUGCAAGAUUUUAUGACAUGCAGUGCAAGGCAUGUUGCAGCCAAACAGUUCCAUGUAGGAUGCAGAACCUUCCACGGCUUUGGGUGCCAAUUCCAUAAACAUCACAGAGCUCAUCUGCUUACAUGGAUCAUCCCAAACCUCUUGAGUUUUCUUGGAAUCUUGCAGCUCUCUCUGGCAUUUCCUGUCAAGGUCCAACCAAUCAGCUGCCACCAUCACCCCCCUCCCUCGCACCCACUAUUUUCUUUUGGAGCUUUUUCCUUCCAGGCCCAGCUGAAGCCUGAAUGUUCAGGGAGGCAUGAAGAAUGAUGGAUUGCAGGGGAAGGGCAUUUUAACAAUAGUUGACUGGGACCUUGCCAGAUCGAUCAAUUAAUCAAUUCAGGCUGCAGAUUGGUGUUGCUGUGAUUGUAUUUUAAUGCAGGUGACUCAGAGCGACUUGACUUUUAAGCAGCAAGGACUGGUUGGGAAUGUUAACACUCAGAAACAAAAAACAAAACAACAUCUAGAAUCCACAGUGUGAUGCCUCAUGGGCCUUGUAGUCCUGCUCCUAGUGCCAUCGUGGCAGAUGAAGACGAAAACAUGGGGUUUUUGCCGGUCCAACAAGAGCCGGAGUCCUUUCACCUGCCGGAUGUUGAUGUUUGUCCCCAAGAAUUCAGUAAAACAGACCUUGGACAUUCCUCGUCUCCGUUCCCUAGAAAAGAAUCCUACUGUGCUGACAGAGGAGUCAGGGAACAGAAUCGCAGGAGUUUACGGAUUGCUGCCAAACAACAGGCUGAUUAGACCUGCUUCCCUUGGGAAAUUCUAAGGAGUCUUGCAUCUGGACAAAGUUGGGUUUCGCUUCCCGUUCUCUAGGGAAAGAGAUUGUUGGCGGGAAAACGAGACCCCAAUAUAGGUGCCUGACGCGGGAGAAUCUUUGCGGAGUCAACAGAGCAGCUUCAGGAGUAAGAUCGUGUGUGGACUUCGUAACCCCAGUUCCUUGCUUCCCGGAUUAAGUAUUCAAGUCUUGCCUCGCUUUGCCUUUAACCACGGACCUUGUUCUAAGAAUCACUGUUGCCUUGUAUCCAGCCUUGUAUCCAGCCUUGUUUCCAGCCUUGUUGUCAAGCUACCUAGGACUCCUGAGACCCAGACAUUUCCCCACACUAUUGCUUGGCAAUAGUGUGUGUUUCGGUAUUGGAUAAAAAACUUUGGACUCUAAUAUCAUUUAUUGGACAAUACAUUUUUGGACUAUAUUUGACCUCAUCUGAAAGGUCUGCUUCUGAACUAUAUUCUUCACUUGUUUUUAUUGCUUUUAUAUAUUUCUUUAAUAAAGAUAUUAGAUAGAGA